CACUGCAAGUCGAGCGGUAGCACAGAGAGCUUGCUCUCGGGUGACGAGCGGCGGACGGGUGAGUAAUGUCUGGGAAACUGCCUGAUGGAGGGGGAUAACUACUGGAAACGGUAGCUAAUACCGCAUAACGUCGCAAGACCAAAGUGGGGGACCUUCGGGCCUCAUGCCAUCAGAUGUGCCCAGAUGGGAUUAGCUAGUAGGUGGGGUAACGGCUCACCUAGGCGACGAUCCCUAGCUGGUCUGAGAGGAUGACCAGCCACACUGGAACUGAGACACGGUCCAGACUCCUACGGGAGGCAGCAGUGGGGAAUAUUGCACAAUGGGCGCAAGCCUGAUGCAGCCAUGCCGCGUGUGUGAAGAAGGCCUUCGGGUUGUAAAGCACUUUCAGCGGGGAGGAAGGCGUUAAGGUUAAUAACCUUGGCGAUUGACGUUACCCGCAGAAGAAGCACCGGCUAACUCCGUGCCAGCAGCCGCGGUAAUACGGAGGGUGCAAGCGUUAAUCGGAAUUACUGGGCGUAAAGCGCACGCAGGCGGUCUGUCAAGUCGGAUGUGAAAUCCCCGGGCUCAACCUGGGAACUGCAUUCGAAACUGGCAGGCUAGAGUCUUGUAGAGGGGGGUAGAAUUCCAGGUGUAGCGGUGAAAUGCGUAGAGAUCUGGAGGAAUACCGGUGGCGAAGGCGGCCCCCUGGACAAAGACUGACGCUCAGGUGCGAAAGCGUGGGGAGCAAACAGGAUUAGAUACCCUGGUAGUCCACGCCGUAAACGAUGUCGAUUUGGAGGUUGUGCCCUUGAGGCGUGGCUUCCGGAGCUAACGCGUUAAAUCGACCGCCUGGGGAGUACGGCCGCAAGGUUAAAACUCAAAUGAAUUGACGGGGGCCCGCACAAGCGGUGGAGCAUGUGGUUUAAUUCGAUGCAACGCGAAGAACCUUACCUGGUCUUGACAUCCACAGAACUUUCCAGAGAUGGAUUGGUGCCUUCGGGAACUGUGAGACAGGUGCUGCAUGGCUGUCGUCAGCUCGUGUUGUGAAAUGUUGGGUUAAGUCCCGCAACGAGCGCAACCCUUAUCCUUUGUUGCCAGCGGUCCGGCCGGGAACUCAAAGGAGACUGCCAGUGAUAAACUGGAGGAAGGUGGGGAUGACGUCAAGUCAUCAUGGCCCUUACGACCAGGGCUACACACGUGCUACAAUGGCAUAUACAAAGAGAAGCGACCUCGCGAGAGCAAGCGGACCUCAUAAAGUAUGUCGUAGUCCGGAUUGGAGUCUGCAACUCGACUCCAUGAAGUCGGAAUCGCUAGUAAUCGUAGAUCAGAAUGCUACGGUGAAUACGUUCCCGGGCCUUGUACACACCGCCCGUCACACCAUGGGAGUGGGUUGCAAAAGAAGUAGGUAGCUUAACCUUCGGGAGGGCGCUUACCACUUUGUGAUUCAUGACUGGGGUGAAGUC
This 1442-nucleotide ribosomal RNA is filed under the name Klebsiella pneumoniae. RNAcentral's name for it is "bacterial SSU rRNA". It matches the Rfam family "Bacterial small subunit ribosomal RNA". Lineage: Bacteria; Pseudomonadati; Pseudomonadota; Gammaproteobacteria; Enterobacterales; Enterobacteriaceae. The record is from RNAcentral.